CUUGAGUACAUUUUUAGCGCUGUAUCAGUACUUUUACUGCGCUACUUUCCCUCAACCUGCCGUCGCUACUUUAUAUGUUUAUUUUUUCGUCAACGGUGAUUGGCUAAGGAGAAUAAUCAGUCCCGUGAUUCCCGUCGAAUCAAAUCACACAUAGAAAACUUGCAUCAGACAGACUUCAAGACACCUGGCGCCAAUUUAGUUUAAUCAUGGAGGAGGGAGGAAGUGUGGUGGAUGCUUCAACAUGCAACAGCUCAAAUACAGCACUUCAGCAUCCUUGGCCACACCUGAAGCAGCUUUUUGCAGUGAAGGCGAAGAAGGGCAAUUGUGUCAUUAUGUCCUGUCAACUUUGCCUGCCUAGACCUGUUGAAAUAUUGGCAUUCAAGAGUUCUUCCUCUAAUUUGAAAAAACACAUCGAGAGAAAACAUCCAUCGAAAUUAAAGCAGUACAAAGAAUGUGUCUUGAAAAGAAAAAACUCAGAAGAACAGAGGUGUGAUUCAGCUGUGAAACAGAUGAAGAUUAAAGACUACUCCAUGUCAUGCAGGCAGGUUACUCAGUCCACAAUUGACAGGCUUGUAGUUGAGUUUGUCUGGGAAAGCCUUCAGCCCUUUACCAUAGUUGAACUUCCAACAUUCAAAAAUCUAAUCCAUACAAUGCAACCUAGCUGUACAGUUAUGUCCAGACCAACUGUGAAGUUGAGAAUCGAGGAAGCAGCCGCAAAGGUAAAAAAAAACAUUGCUGAGAUGGCAAAAGUCAGCUAUAUAGAUACCACUACUGAUUGUUGGACAGCUCGACAACGGAGUUACAUCGGUGUAACCGCACACUGGAUCGAUGAAUCUACACUGGAAAGAAGGUCUGCUUCGAUUGCCUUUAGACGCUUGAAAGGAUCCAUACAUUUGAUUUGCUUGCAGGGUGUUAUGUGGCUAGGCGAUAAGAUGUUCAAAAGUGUCGCGCCGGCCCUGCUUGUCCGGGAGGACAAUAUAUAUGGUAUGAAAGGAGCCAAGUGCGGAGACGGAUCAAAAGACUCCGCCUAAAAUGCGGCCGCCUAAAGCGGGACACGAACCGGAGAGUUUGUGAACCCCAAGCUGUAACUGAGCUAAUUCUAUUGUAUGGGAUUUGUGAGUGUUGCAGUGCUUGUGAAACUGGAUCGGGAAGCUCAGAUCCAACGGCUGAACUCAAAAGCGCUGCAGUGCGGCGGAAAAACAACUCAAAACUGGCCCUCCUUCUGGCCGAACUUAAAGGCACCAAAUGAGACAAAAAUCUCUAACUUAAGAUGGCUGAAUCUUUAUCUGGGAGUGAGGACUCUCAGUCUGUCCUCCUCUUUAGUUUUGUGCCUACUUCCUCUUUAAUCCUGAGCUCCCUUUUCUUUCUUUCCCUCAAUAAUUUCUCUCCCUUUCCUUUUCUUUCUAAACCUAAAUAUUUUAUUUUAUUUCUUUUCUUCUUUUUUUACAUAUCAAAAUCACCGAUCAGAGUAGCGUGGCGCUGCUCUGUUACCUGGCACAGAUCUAUAUCUGCACGCGGAGUGAGGCAAUCAGAGGGCUUAUAAAGAGGCGCGGCCAGGUGCUGCACGUUUACACUGAUUACCUUCUUGAGAUCACCUCGUUAUAAAAGCCCGUGCAGGUGGCCGUGGAUCUGCCUGAGAAGGCACCUGCCGCGUUACACAGGGAUCCUGGAUGACAUCCACUCGGAAUAUGGCAUCUCAGGAAAAAUAGUCAGAACAACAACAACUGAUAGUGGAUCAAAUUUAAUUAAAGCAUUUAAGGUGUAUGGUGAACAGAGUCAGCAAGAGUUGACUGGUGCUGACUCUGCUGAGGCAGUGACACUGGAGAGUGAGGAAGAUGCAGAAGGAGUUGAGGUUCAGGACACCUGUUCUAUUUUAAACACUAACAGUGGGUUGGAGUAUCAUCUACCCGAGCAUCAGCGUUGCGCGUGUCAUCAUCUUAAUUUGGUGGCUACUGUGGAUGCUUCCAAGGCAGAGGACAGCAGUGAGGUAUAUAAGAAGCUUACCCGUUCAACGUUUGCAAAAUGCCAGGCAUUAUACAAUAAAACCAGCCGGUCUGCCAUCAAUGCAGAGAUUGUCCAAGAAGAAUGUAAGCUGCAGUUCAUUCAGCCCAACCACACAAGAUGGAAUUCGGUGUACAGUGCUGCAGAGAGGGUAAUGCGGAUCCUAAAGGAGCAGGGAGAAGCAUCCCUUCAGAAUGUAUGUGCAGCAUUCAAAAUGAAAAUGUCAGUCUGUUUGCUCAAUCUCACAUUGUUCUAAUUGGAGUACUUAAGGUGUUUGUUUCUUGCUUCUCUGAAUACUGCACUGUGAUGAAGCCUGUAUCCAUGGCCUUGAACAUCCUUGAGUCUGAAACCAACACUCAGAUGGGGUGGCUGCUUCCCACCAUCUACCUUCUUGAAUCCAAGUUCAGAAAGAUGGAGAAGAUGGAGGCUUCAGUCAAGGUAUGUCUUCCCCUUAUUCGUGCUCUGCAGCAGGCUCUACAAAAGCGCUUUGGGGAGUUUAUGGAAGAUCCGGAGCUCGUCAGUGCUGCAAUUCUUCUUCCAAAAUUCAAAAUGUCAUGGACAGACAAGGCCCACAUCAUAAAAGCAGGUAAGAUGUUCCUAAUAUUUUGUCAGGAGUCAUGGGUACAUUUUGCUUAUCCCACUUGUAACUUGUCCACUACUGUGUAUGGGUUUGUGUGGAGUUAAGCUAUUGGUUCAAUAUUUAUUUACUUGCCUACUGUAGCACAGUCAGACUGUGAAACAGUGUUAGAAAAGACAAGGGUAUUGAGUUAUAGGGGAGUAAAUGCAGCAGGGCUUAUGUAGCAAGUGAACGGUUUUAUUUAAUUUCUAAACUAUCCAUGACAACCCCAAUAGUUGGUCCAUAACACACUAGUAAACAUGCCAUAGUUUGUCUGUCAGCAUUAUCCACAAUUAUUAUUAAUGUUUGUGUGUAUGGUAGGUAUGGAUUACAUCCUGCAUUAUCUUGAUGCCAUUAAGGGCACCCAGCAAAACGAAUCACAACAUGACGCCUCUGACGAGGAUGACUUCUUUUCUUCCAUUAAGACUGUUCCAUCCCCAACUGCAUCUGAAUUGGAUGGAUACUUGGCUUGUGCCUCAGAAGAGAUGGGACUGCUUCACUCGUUUCCUUUGGUGAAAAAGCUAAGCCUCAAACUGAACACACCCUUGCCUGCCUCUGCAGCAUGUGAGUGCCUUUUUAGUUGUGCUGGGCAGCUGUUUACACCUAAACGCGCAAGGCUGGACAGUACAAAUUUUGAGAAUCAGCUCAUUGUAAAACUGAAUAACAAAUUCAGAAUAUAGGCUCGUUGUUGACCCCUGCACUAAAAUCGCUGCAAGCCUGCGUUCAUGUUCAGAGACUUGUCAGUUAAUGCAUGUUCUAUUCACUUCAGUGUCAUUUUCUAAUUUGUGCUACAGGCUCAUCUUUUUAUGUUAAAUUGUUAAUGUACAAUGCUUUGCAACCUUUAUUAACCUGCAAGAAGACCUCUACAGAAUGCUUGGCAUAAAUGUUACCUGAUUAUUGGUUGCUUUAUCAAAUAUUACAUGCCUGGAUUUUCAGUGCUAGCAGUCAGAACAGGGUUCCCACAGGUCCUUGAAAGUUUGUGAAUCUGAAAAAAAAAAAUUCAAGGCCCUGGAAAGUUUUUGAAAAUAAACAUACAUAGAUACAGAAGAUUACAAAGAAUGGCUUGCCAGAGAUCCAAAGGACCAUCACUUGGCCAGGUGCAGAGCCUGUUGUAAAUCUCUCAAAGUGCAUAGGAUGGGAGAAGCGGCUCUUUCAAGUCAUGCAGCUGGAUCUACACACAAGACGGCACUGCGGAAAUCGGAAGCAGCACCCACUUUAGUCAACUUUGUGGAAAGGUUGGUGACAUCAACUCCUACACCAUGUAGACCUGCAACGGCUACCACCAUUGCCACAUCCUCCAAACAGUCAAUAAUCACAGAGAGGACACAUUAAAAGCUCAGGUCCUGUGGUGUUUGAACAUGAUGGAGUCUCACUACUCUUUCAAUUCCAGUGAAGGGACAGGUGUGCUAUUUUCUGCAAUUUUUUCCAACAGUGCAGUUGCGAAGACUUUUGCCUGUGGAGCAACAAAGUCCACGUACAUUUGCACGCAUGGUUUGGCUCCGCAUUUCAAACACUUGUUGUGCAAAAAACUCUCUUCUAAUAGGGAGGACUAUGAUGUUUUCAGUGCUUACACCGAACCCAAAUAUGUUCAGUCAAUGACUGUAUCUUGUGUUCAAUAAACAAAACAUUUGUGAUAAUCUGUUGCCCAAAUAUUUUAUUUAAUGUAAUGUUGAAUUGCUUUGCUUGUUAAGAUAAUGUAAACCCAUGAGGUGAGAAAAACUUAAAAGCAUAUUCAUAUGUCUUAAAACUUCUGGUUACAUGAUCCUAAGCUCCUUUCAAUAAAAUCCAUGCAAAAGUUAAUAUCAGAAUUUUUAGAAUACAAUAUAGGAUAUACCGAACAUUCUUCAGUUUUAUGCAAAACAGAAAUACGACAAAUAGAAUAUCAGAUCUGUCAUAUGGCCAAAAAUAAAUGCAAAAAAAUGUUUUUUUGCAUAGUUGUUUGACACAUAAACUGUAACAAUGUAUCUUAACAAGGUAACACGAUGUAACCUUGCUCUCACUUGAAAUGUGUAUUGGGUAUUGGACCUGGAUAGUCCUUGAUAGGUCCUUGAAAUUGAAGUUAACCAAGGUGUGGGAACCCUGGUGUUAGUCUCGAUUCAUACAGAAUUGUGCUGCUCUACUUUCCAUGGUAACAAAAUAAGAAUUUUCUAAUCUCAGGAUCUACCUGAUAAUUAUCUUCUGUAGGAAGAAUAAUUGUGAAGUAAAAGUUUGUUGUUCUGUUGUAGUGGAAUAUACCAUAGCGCUAUUCAGGGCACUCCCCACACUCUUUCCUUCUCCGACUGCACCACCUAAGAAGCUGGGACAUGCCAGUGAGGCAUUGCUACAUGUCCUUCAGCAAACAGAAGAUCCCACAAUCUACCUUCAGACGAGAUCUCUCUCCAGCCCUGUUUUGCUGUUUGAUGGUUCCAACUGUCUUAUCGCUAUUGGAACUACUCCCUUCACCACAUUUGCCAAGGAAGACUUCAGUGAAGGCCUGCUGUAUCUGAUGGCUUACUACUACACCCUUCAUCUUACAUACUCUAAGUGUGUGGCAACCCUCUGGCAAACAUCUGGAGGAGUUGGAGGGACUGAUGUUCUGUGUUCAAGGAAUUUAAGAAAAAAGUAAAUGUUUA
Pangasianodon hypophthalmus (striped catfish) is the source of this 5229-nucleotide RNA transcript. RefSeq lists it as uncharacterized. Lineage: Eukaryota; Metazoa; Chordata; Actinopteri; Siluriformes; Pangasiidae. The transcript is spliced from 5 exons. The record is from RefSeq and is a predicted model, not a curated record.